Molecule: long non-coding RNA, 222 nt
Organism: Mastomys coucha (southern multimammate mouse)
Lineage: Eukaryota; Metazoa; Chordata; Mammalia; Rodentia; Muridae
Exons: 3
Source: RefSeq, a predicted model, not a curated record
CCAGAGAGGAAAGAAAUGGUUCAGAGAGGAAGGUGGAUUGGUGUCAGGCUAGAAAGGGCAUGAGCUCUGUUGCCAGAAAGAUGGAACCUGCCCACAUUGAAUAGCUAUCCAAAGUAGGACAGUGACAUCUCUGUGACAGACACUUGCCUUUCUCUCUGGGGACUGUUUAGCAGAAUUUCUUUAAGGGGUUUAUUUGUUUCCUCUUUAAAGACUUCUACUUCC